UGACUCGUGAUUUGCUGUUCAACCCUGUGUUCUGCGGGCAUACAACCAGCACAUUUGUGGUGGCUAAGUGAGCCCUGCUUGCUUAAUGAGCCCCAGGGAUGGUGUGGGAUUGCACGAAUUCACAGGACACGGUAUAAGACACAUCUUCCAGAAGAAAUGUCAGUGAGGACAGUUGCCUAACAACACAGAGAGAAAAGAUGAAUAACAUUUCCAAUAAAUGACGGGUAUCUGUAUUGGAAGUUUUCUUUCUUUCCCUGAAAUAAAACAUGGAUAUGCUACCCCCGUGGAGCUCGUCUUUGCAGGCUGCUACAAUCAGGCUUAGAGGAAGAACACAUUGAGAGCAUGACUGCCAUUCAAAGCUUCGUUAUCUCCUUUGAUGCGAACAAAAAGGAAAGAGAAGAGUAGUUUGGUGUGUCGGUGAAGGCAAACACAAUGUGGCAAGUGGAAUCAGCUGCUGUCUCUAGAGCAAAAAGGACUGAAGCAAAAAGCCAAGUUUGAGAGGAGUGUUUCUCAACCUUGGCAGUUUUAAGAGGGUGGACUUCAACUCCCAGAAUUCCCCAGCCAGCAUGAAUAAGGUUGAGAAAAAAAAAAAGUUGAAUGCCAGAAUGUCCUCCCAUCAGCUCUACUGUCAGGAAGAUUUCAUGGGAUUCUUUGUUUACAAAGACUUUGUGGAUCUAGAGAGAUAGAAACUCUUGUCCAUGUCCAUAUAUGAUGCUCUUUCUUUGAUGCCCCAAGAUGUUCGGAUCACUCCAAACAUUUCCAAAUACAAGGGUCCUGCAAAUGAAUUUUACAUUUAUUAUUUCUUAAGGGAUGUAACCCUAUGCUCAUAUAUCAAGUGGCCAAUUAUCUUCACCAAGUUAUGCAUCUAUACAAAACUUUUAAUUAAAUAUGCUAUUUUGUUGUCCUAUUUUUUCCUUUUCCCAAUAACAAAUAAAAACUCCCUUUUUACGA
Long non-coding RNA from Crotalus tigris (Tiger rattlesnake), 951 nucleotides. RefSeq lists it as uncharacterized. The record is from RefSeq and is a predicted model, not a curated record. The transcript has 2 exons. Lineage: Eukaryota; Metazoa; Chordata; Lepidosauria; Squamata; Viperidae.